Molecule: ribosomal RNA, 2900 nt
Filed under: Klebsiella pneumoniae
Lineage: Bacteria; Pseudomonadati; Pseudomonadota; Gammaproteobacteria; Enterobacterales; Enterobacteriaceae
Description: bacterial LSU rRNA
Rfam family: Bacterial large subunit ribosomal RNA
Source: RNAcentral
UUAAGCGACUAAGCGUACACGGUGGAUGCCCUGGCAGUCAGAGGCGAUGAAGGACGUGCUAAUCUGCGAAAAGCGUCGGUAAGGUGAUAUGAACCGUUACAGCCGGCGAUGUCCGAAUGGGGAAACCCAGUGCAAUUCGUUGCACUAUCGUUAACUGAAUACAUAGGUUAACGAGGCGAACCGGGGGAACUGAAACAUCUAAGUACCCCGAGGAAAAGAAAUCAACCGAGAUUCCCCCAGUAGCGGCGAGCGAACGGGGAGCAGCCCAGAGUCUGAAUCAGCUUGUGUGUUAGUGGAACGGUCUGGAAAGUCCGACGGUACAGGGUGAUAGUCCCGUACACCAAAAUGCACAGGCUGUGAACUCGAAGAGUAGGGCGGGACACGUGGUAUCCUGUCUGAAUAUGGGGGGACCAUCCUCCAAGGCUAAAUACUCCUGACUGACCGAUAGUGAACCAGUACCGUGAGGGAAAGGCGAAAAGAACCCCGGCGAGGGGAGUGAAAAAGAACCUGAAACCGUGUACGUACAAGCAGUGGGAGCACCUUCGGGUGUGACUGCGUACCUUUUGUAUAAUGGGUCAGCGACUUAUAUUCUGUAGCAAGGUUAACCGUAUAGGGGAGCCGCAGGGAAACCGAGUCUUAACUGGGCGUUAAGUUGCAGGGUAUAGACCCGAAACCCGGUGAUCUAGCCAUGGGCAGGUUGAAGGUUGGGUAACACUAACUGGAGGACCGAACCGACUAAUGUUGAAAAAUUAGCGGAUGACUUGUGGCUGGGGGUGAAAGGCCAAUCAAACCGGGAGAUAGCUGGUUCUCCCCGAAAGCUAUUUAGGUAGCGCCUCGUGAACUCAUCUUCGGGGGUAGAGCACUGUUUCGGCUAGGGGGUCAUCCCGACUUACCAACCCGAUGCAAACUACGAAUACCGAAGAAUGUUAUCACGGGAGACACACGGCGGGUGCUAACGUCCGUCGUGAAGAGGGAAACAACCCAGACCGCCAGCUAAGGUCCCAAAGUCAUGGUUAAGUGGGAAACGAUGUGGGAAGGCACAGACAGCCAGGAUGUUGGCUUAGAAGCAGCCAUCAUUUAAAGAAAGCGUAAUAGCUCACUGGUCGAGUCGGCCUGCGCGGAAGAUGUAACGGGGCUAAACCAUGCACCGAAGCUGCGGCAGCGACACUAUGUGUUGUUGGGUAGGGGAGCGUUCUGUAAGCCUGCGAAGGUGUGCUGUGAGGCAUGCUGGAGGUAUCAGAAGUGCGAAUGCUGACAUAAGUAACGAUAAAGCGGGUGAAAAGCCCGCUCGCCGGAAGACCAAGGGUUCCUGUCCAACGUUAAUCGGGGCAGGGUGAGUCGACCCCUAAGGCGAGGCCGAAAGGCGUAGUCGAUGGGAAACAGGUUAAUAUUCCUGUACUUGGUGUUACUGCGAAGGGGGGACGGAGAAGGCUAUGUUAGCCGGGCGACGGUUGUCCCGGUUUAAGCAUGUAGGCUGGUUAUCCAGGCAAAUCCGGAUAAUCAAGGCUGAGGUGUGAUGACGAGGCACUACGGUGCUGAAGUAACAAAUGCCCUGCUUCCAGGAAAAGCCUCUAAGCAUCAGGUAACAUUAAAUCGUACCCCAAACCGACACAGGUGGUCAGGUAGAGAAUACCAAGGCGCUUGAGAGAACUCGGGUGAAGGAACUAGGCAAAAUGGUGCCGUAACUUCGGGAGAAGGCACGCUGGUGUGUAGGUGAAGCCCCUGCGGGUGGAGCUGAGACCAGUCGAAGAUACCAGCUGGCUGCAACUGUUUAUUAAAAACACAGCACUGUGCAAACACGAAAGUGGACGUAUACGGUGUGACGCCUGCCCGGUGCCGGAAGGUUAAUUGAUGGGGUUAUCCGUAAGGAGAAGCUCUUGAUCGAAGCCCCGGUAAACGGCGGCCGUAACUAUAACGGUCCUAAGGUAGCGAAAUUCCUUGUCGGGUAAGUUCCGACCUGCACGAAUGGCGUAAUGAUGGCCAGGCUGUCUCCACCCGAGACUCAGUGAAAUUGAACUCGCUGUGAAGAUGCAGUGUACCCGCGGCAAGACGGAAAGACCCCGUGAACCUUUACUAUAGCUUGACACUGAACAUUGAGCCUUGAUGUGUAGGAUAGGUGGGAGGCUUUGAAGCGUGGACGCCAGUCUGCGUGGAGCCAACCUUGAAAUACCACCCUUUAAUGUUUGAUGUUCUAACGUUGGCCCCUGACCGGGGUUGCGGACAGUGUCUGGUGGGUAGUUUGACUGGGGCGGUCUCCUCCCAAAGCGUAACGGAGGAGCACGAAGGUUAGCUAAUCCUGGUCGGACAUCAGGAGGUUAGUGCAAUGGCAUAAGCUAGCUUGACUGCGAGCGUGACGGCGCGAGCAGGUGCGAAAGCAGGUCAUAGUGAUCCGGUGGUUCUGAAUGGAAGGGCCAUCGCUCAACGGAUAAAAGGUACUCCGGGGAUAACAGGCUGAUACCGCCCAAGAGUUCAUAUCGACGGCGGUGUUUGGCACCUCGAUGUCGGCUCAUCACAUCCUGGGGCUGAAGUAGGUCCCAAGGGUAUGGCUGUUCGCCAUUUAAAGUGGUACGCGAGCUGGGUUUAGAACGUCGUGAGACAGUUCGGUCCCUAUCUGCCGUGGGCGCUGGAGAAUUGAGGGGGGCUGCUCCUAGUACGAGAGGACCGGAGUGGACGCAUCACUGGUGUUCGGGUUGUCAUGCCAAUGGCACUGCCCGGUAGCUAAAUGCGGAAGAGAUAAGUGCUGAAAGCAUCUAAGCACGAAACUUGCCCCGAGAUGAGUUCUCCCUGAGACUUUAAGUCUCCUGAAGGAACGUUGAAGACGACGACGUUGAUAGGCCGGGUGUGUAAGCGCAGCGAUGCGUUGAGCUAACCGGUACUAAUGAACCGUGAGGCUUAACCUU